UACGUAGGGGGCAAGCGUUAUCCGGAUUUACAGGGUGUAAAGGGAGCGUAGACGGCCAGACAAGUCUGGAGUGAAAAUCCAGCGCUUAACGUUGGAAGUGCUUUGGAAACUGCCGGGCUAGAGUGCAGGAGGGGCAGGCGGAAUUCCUAGUGUAGCGGUGAAAUGCGUAGAUAUUAGGAGGAACACCAGUGGCGAAGGCGGCCUGCUGGACUGCAACUGACGUUGAGGCUCGAAGGCGUGGGGAGCAAACAGG
This 253-nucleotide ribosomal RNA is filed under the name uncultured bacterium. RNAcentral's name for it is "partial 16S ribosomal RNA". It matches the Rfam family "Bacterial small subunit ribosomal RNA", at positions 524 to 776 of the family's 1533-position model. The record is from RNAcentral.